CAUGUCUCUGGGCAACAGAACAAACCGCCGACUGGCCUGGGAGGGCAGGCUUCCAAGGGUCCUCGUGGCUACCCAGCCCAUCUGCUCAGCCAACUGCUUGCAUCUGGAACUCCAGUUUAAUCAUGAAAAAAACAUCUGACAAACCCAAAUGGAGGAACACCCACAAAAUGCCUCGUCACUGCUUUUCAAAAGGGCCAAGGUCAUGAAAACCGAGAAAGAACUGAGAAACCAUCUCACAUCGGAG
RNAcentral lists this long non-coding RNA (244 nucleotides) under Homo sapiens (human). RNAcentral's name for it is "non-protein coding lnc-CYS1-1:18". Lineage: Eukaryota; Metazoa; Chordata; Mammalia; Primates; Hominidae. The record is from RNAcentral.